This 406-nucleotide ribosomal RNA is filed under the name uncultured bacterium. RNAcentral describes it as "partial 16S ribosomal RNA". It matches the Rfam family "Bacterial small subunit ribosomal RNA", at positions 30 to 526 of the family's 1533-position model. The record is from RNAcentral.
AUUGAACGCUGGCGGCAGGCCUAACACAUGCAAGUCGAGCGAGCGGCGGACGGUUGAGUAAUGUCUGGGAAACUGCCUGAUGGCGGGGGAUAACUACUGGCAACGGUAGCUAAUCCCGCAUACCAUCAGAUGUGCCCCGAUGGGAUUAGCUAGUAGGUGGGGUAACGGCUCACCUAGGCGACGAUCCCUAGCUGGUCUGAGAGGAUGACCAGCCACCCUGGAACUGGGACACGGUCCAGACUCCUACGGGAGGCAGCAGGGGGGAAUAUUGCACAAUGGGCGCAAGCCUGAUGCAGCCAUGCCGCGGGUGUGAAGAAGGCCUUCGGGUUGUAAAGCACUUUCAGCGGGGAGGCGUUACCCGCAGAAGAAGCACCGGCUAACUCCGUGCCAGCAGCCGCGGUAAUAC